RNAcentral lists this ribosomal RNA (490 nucleotides) under uncultured bacterium. Its description in RNAcentral is "partial 16S ribosomal RNA". It matches the Rfam family "Bacterial small subunit ribosomal RNA", at positions 30 to 507 of the family's 1533-position model. The record is from RNAcentral.
AUUGAACGCUGGCGGCAGGCCUAACACAUGCAAGUCGAACGGUAACAGGAAGAAGCUUGCUUCUUUGCUGACUAGUGGCGGACGGGUGAGUAAUGUCUGGGAAACUGCCUGAUGGAGGGGGAUAACUACUGGAAACGGUAGCUAAGACCGCAUAACGUCGCAAGACCAAAGAGGGGGACCUUCAGGCCUCUUGCCAUCGGAUGUGCCCAGAUGGGAUUAGCUAGUAGGUGGGGGAACGGCUCACCUAGGCGACGAUCCCUAGCUGGUCUGAGAGGAUGACCAGACACCCUGGAACUGAGACACGGUCCAGACUCCUACGGGAGGCAGCAGUGGGGAAUAUUGCACAAUGGGGCAAAGCCUGAUGCAGCCAUGCCGCGUGUAUGCAGAAGGCCUUCGGGUUGUAAAGUACUUUCAGCGGGGAGGAAGGGAGUAAAGUUAAUACCUUAGCUCAUUGACGUUACCCGCAGAAGAAGCACCGGCUAACUCCGUG